This 253-nucleotide ribosomal RNA is filed under the name uncultured bacterium. Its description in RNAcentral is "partial 16S ribosomal RNA". It matches the Rfam family "Bacterial small subunit ribosomal RNA", at positions 524 to 776 of the family's 1533-position model. The record is from RNAcentral.
UACGAACCGUGCGAACGUUGUUCGGAAUCACUGGGCUUAAAGGGCGCGUAGGCGGGCAAUCAAGUCCGGGGUGAAAGCCCCCAGCUCAACUGGGGAAGUGCCUUGGAAACUGCUUGUCUAGAGGGAGGUAGGGGUAUGUGGAACUUCGGGUGGAGCGGUGAAAUGCGUUGAUAUCCUAAGGAACACCGGUGGCGAAAGCGGCUCACUGGAUCUUAUCUGACGCUGAGGCACGAAAGCCAGGGUAGCAAACGGG